Suncus etruscus (white-toothed pygmy shrew) is the source of this 593-nucleotide long non-coding RNA. RefSeq lists it as uncharacterized. Lineage: Eukaryota; Metazoa; Chordata; Mammalia; Eulipotyphla; Soricidae. The record is from RefSeq and is a predicted model, not a curated record. The transcript has 2 exons.
GUCCGUCCAUCGCCGCGGCCUCGCCUAGCUAGGGUCGUUUCCCUCUGUCGCUUCGCUUCCCGCGCCAGGCCCUGAGCUUGUCCAGCCCCCUCUGCCCUGCCACCCGCCUCCCGCAGCUCCUACAAGUGAAUAGAAGCUCUAUGAGACAAGGUAGAUGUCACCUGAAUUCACCGCUGGAUUCCAGUGCCCUGGCAUAAAGAAGAGAUCCCAGAGUGAAGAAACAAGUGGAUCCAUCCUUCAUUAGCCAGUCCUUACGAUAACCACAAGAUGUGGCCAGAGAGAUAGCACAGCAGCAAGGCAUUUGCCUUGCACACAGCUGAUACAGAAUGGAUGGUGAUUCGAAUCCCAGCAUCCCAAAGCUGGUCCCCAAAGCCAUCCAGGAGUGAUUUCUGAGCACAGAGCCAGAAAUAACCCCUGAGCACCACCGAUGUGACCCAAAAACCAAAAAAUAAAAUAAAAUAACCACAAGGCUAAAAGUAUCCCUUUGGUUUCUGUAUUAAGACAGCCUGUAAUUCACAUGGAAGACUUGGGUUUUUAUUUUCUGCAUUGUCCUCUAUACUUUGGAGCAUUGAAGCAAUUCGAUCGUGUUGAUA